Small nuclear RNA from Hyaena hyaena (striped hyena), 107 nucleotides. The record is from RefSeq and is a predicted model, not a curated record. NCBI's taxonomy places the organism in Eukaryota, Metazoa, Chordata, Mammalia, Carnivora, Hyaenidae.
GUGCUCAUUUUGGUAGCAUAUGUUACUAAAAUUGGAAUGACACAGACAAGAUUAGCAAGGCCCCUGAAGAGGGUGAUAUCCAAAUUUGUGAAGUGUUUCAUAUUUUA